RNAcentral lists this ribosomal RNA (457 nucleotides) under uncultured Rhodocyclaceae bacterium. RNAcentral describes it as "bacterial SSU rRNA". It matches the Rfam family "Bacterial small subunit ribosomal RNA", at positions 925 to 1382 of the family's 1533-position model. The record is from RNAcentral. Lineage: Bacteria; Pseudomonadati; Pseudomonadota; Betaproteobacteria; Rhodocyclales; Rhodocyclaceae.
ACAAGCAGCGGGCGUGUGGUUUAAUUCGAUGCUACACGAAGAACCGUUACCAGGGUUUGACAUACAAGUAGUAGGGAAAGGAAACUGGACCGACCCUUCGGGGAGCUUGUACAGGUGCUGCAUGGCUGUCGUCAGCUCGUGUCGUGAGAUGUUGGGUUAAGUCCCGCAACGAGCGCAACCCUUGUCAUUAGUUGCCAUCAUUUGGUUGGGCACUCUAAUGAGACUGCCGGUGACAAACCGGAGGAAGGUGGGGAUGACGUCAAGUCCUCAUGGCCCUUAUGGGUAGGGCUUCACACGUCAUACAAUGGUCGGUACAGAGGGUUGCCAACCCGCGAGGGGGAGCUAAUCCCACAAAGCCGAUCGUAGUCCGGAUCGCAGUCUGCAACUCGACUGCGUGAAGUCGGAAUCGCUAGUAAUCGUGGAUCAGCAUGUCACGGUGAAUACGUUCCCGGGUCUU